RNAcentral lists this ribosomal RNA (253 nucleotides) under uncultured bacterium. Its description in RNAcentral is "partial 16S ribosomal RNA". It matches the Rfam family "Bacterial small subunit ribosomal RNA", at positions 524 to 776 of the family's 1533-position model. The record is from RNAcentral.
UACGGGGGGGGCAAGCGUUGUUCGGAAUUACUGGGCGUAAAGGGCGCGUAGGCGGCCUGCUAAGUCAGACGUGAAAUCCCUAGGCUCAACCUAGGAACUGCGUCUGAUACUGGAUGACUUGAAUCCGGGAGAGGGAUGCAGAAUUCCAGGUGUAGCGGUGAAAUGCGUAGAUAUCUGGAGGAAUACCGGUGGCGAAGGCGGCAUCCUGGACCGGCAUUGACGCUGAGGAGCGAAAGCCAGGGGAGCAAACGGG